This 416-nucleotide RNase P RNA is filed under the name Rickettsiales bacterium. Its description in RNAcentral is "RNase P RNA component class A". It matches the Rfam family "Bacterial RNase P class A". Rfam says of the family: Ribonuclease P (RNase P) is a ubiquitous endoribonuclease, found in archaea, bacteria and eukarya as well as chloroplasts and mitochondria. Its best characterised activity is the generation of mature 5'-ends of tRNAs by cleaving the 5'-leader elements of precursor-tRNAs. Cellular RNase Ps are ribonucleoproteins. RNAcentral also lists the same sequence under 1 other name. Lineage: Bacteria; Pseudomonadati; Pseudomonadota; Alphaproteobacteria; Rickettsiales. The record is from RNAcentral.
GAAGUGCCUGAGACAGUCGCUCAUUAAUAUAUUAUUUUUGAGAGGAAAGUCCGGACACCAAAAGGCAGCAUCGCCGCAUGAAAAUGCGGGCGGCUGGUAGCGAAAGCUCCAGUUGACGGAAAGUGUCGCAGAAAAUAUACCGCCUGAUUUGGCAUUUAGUUGAAUAAGGUAAGGGUGAAAUGGCGAGUUAAGAGCUCACCGUCCCAAGGGUAACUGAGGGUGCAUGACAAACCCCGUGCGGUGCAAGACAGAACAGGGAAAACGGGUUGCCUGCCCGGCCUCUUACGAGAUGAUCCCGGGUAAUAGUCGCAGCAUGGUUCGCCCAGCUCCUGUGUAACAGGAAGAUAAAUGGCUGUCACCUGGUUAGUCUAUGACUAUUCAGGAUACAGAAUCCGGCUUAUGACGGUACUUCCCAC